AGAUUGAACGCUGGCGGCAGGCCUAACACAUGCAAGUCGAGCGGUAGAGAGGUGCUUGCAUCUCUUGAGAGCGGCGGACGGGUGAGUAAUGCCUAGGAAUCUGCCUAGUGGUGGGGGAUAACGUUCGGAAACGGACGCUAAUACCGCAUACGUCCUACGGGAGAAAGCGGGGGACCUUCGGGCCUCGCGCCAUUAGAUGAGCCUAGGUCGGAUUAGCUAGUUGGUGAGGUAAUGGCUCACCAAGGCGACGAUCCGUAACUGGUCUGAGAGGAUGAUCAGUCACACUGGAACUGAGACACGGUCCAGACUCCUACGGGAGGCAGCAGUGGGGAAUAUUGGACAAUGGGCGAAAGCCUGAUCCAGCCAUGCCGCGUGUGAAGAAGGUCUUCGGAUUGUAAAAGCAACUUUAAGUUGGGAGGAAGGUUGUAACUUAAUACGUUGCAACUUUGGCGUUACCGACAGAAUAAGCACGGCUAACUCGUGCCAGCAGCCGCGGUAA
RNAcentral lists this ribosomal RNA (499 nucleotides) under uncultured soil bacterium. RNAcentral describes it as "bacterial SSU rRNA". It matches the Rfam family "Bacterial small subunit ribosomal RNA", at positions 26 to 523 of the family's 1533-position model. The record is from RNAcentral.